Molecule: ribosomal RNA, 321 nt
Filed under: uncultured Prevotella sp.
Lineage: Bacteria; Pseudomonadati; Bacteroidota; Bacteroidia; Bacteroidales; Prevotellaceae
Description: partial 16S ribosomal RNA
Source: RNAcentral
GGAGUUUGGACCGUGUCUCAGUUCCAAUGUGGGGGACCUUCCUCUCAGAACCCCUACUGAUCGUAGCCUUGGUGGGCCGUUACCCCGCCAACAAGCUAAUCAGACGCAUCCCCAUCCUUAACCGAAAAAAUCUUUGGUCCGGGUCAGAUGCCCUCGCUGGACCACAUCGGGCAUUAAUCCGGUUUUCACCGGGCUAUUCCCAAGUUAAGGGAAGGUUGGAUACGCGUUACUCACCCGUGCGCCGGUCGCCAUCGCCUCGUCCGAGGACAAGGCAUGCUGCCCCGCGACUUGCAUGUGUUAAGCCUGUAGCUAGCGUUCAUC